This 570-nucleotide ribosomal RNA is filed under the name uncultured bacterium. RNAcentral's name for it is "partial 16S ribosomal RNA". It matches the Rfam family "Bacterial small subunit ribosomal RNA", at positions 355 to 911 of the family's 1533-position model. The record is from RNAcentral.
UGGGGAAUAUUGCACAAUGGGCGCAAGCCUGAUGCAGCCAUGCCGCGUGUGUGAAGAAGGCCUUCGGGUUGUAAAGCACUUUCAGCGAGGAGGAAGGUGGUGAACUUAAUACGUUCAUCAAUUGACGUUACUCGCAGAAGAAGCACCGGCUAACUCCGUGCCAGCAGCCGCGGUAAUACGGAGGGUGCAAGCGUUAAUCGGAAUUACUGGGCGUAAAGCGCACGCAGGCGGUUUGUUAAGUCAGAUGUGAAAUCCCCGGGCUCAACCUGGGAACUGCAUUUGAAACUGGCAAGCUAGAGUCUCGUAGAGGGGGGUAGAAUUCCAGGUGUAGCGGUGAAAUGCGUAGAGAUCUGGAGGAAUACCGGUGGCGAAGGCGGCCCCCUGGACGAAGACUGACGCUCAGGUGCGAAAAGGCGUGGGGGAGCAAACAGGAUUAGAUACCCUGGUAGUCCACGCUGUAAAACGAUGUCGAUUUUGGAGGUUGUGCCCCUUGAGGCGUGGCUUCCGGAGCUAACGCGUUAAAUCGACCGCCUGGGGAGUACGGCCNCAAGGUUAAAACUUAAAUGAAUU